GGGCUGCAGUGGGGAAUUUUGGACAAUGGGGGAAACCCUGAUCCAGCAAUGCCGCGUGUGUGAAGAAGGCCUUCGGGUUGUAAAGCACUUUUGUCAGGAACGAAACGGUGGGGGCUAAUAUCUCCUGCUAAUGACGGUACCUGAAGAAUAAGCACCGGCUAACUACGUGCCAGCAGCCGCGGUAAUACGUAGGGUGCGAGCGUUAAUCGGAAUUACUGGGCGUAAAGCGUGCGCAGGCGGUUGUGCAAGACAGAUGUGAAAUCCCCGGGCUUAACCUGGGAAUUGCAUUUGUGACUGCACGGCUAGAGUGUGUCAGAGGGGGGUAGAAUUCCACGUGUAGCAGUGAAAUGCGUAGAUAUGUGGAGGAAUACCGAUGGCGAAGGCAGCCCCCUGGGAUAACACUGACGCUCAUGCACGAAAGCGUGGGGAGCAAACAGGAUUAGAUACCCCUGUAGUC
RNAcentral lists this ribosomal RNA (457 nucleotides) under uncultured Burkholderiales bacterium. RNAcentral's name for it is "bacterial SSU rRNA". It matches the Rfam family "Bacterial small subunit ribosomal RNA", at positions 346 to 795 of the family's 1533-position model. The record is from RNAcentral. Lineage: Bacteria; Pseudomonadati; Pseudomonadota; Betaproteobacteria; Burkholderiales.